Molecule: ribosomal RNA, 459 nt
Filed under: uncultured bacterium
Lineage: Bacteria
Description: partial 16S ribosomal RNA
Rfam family: Bacterial small subunit ribosomal RNA
Source: RNAcentral
CCUACGGGUGGCUGCAGUGAGGAAUAUUGGUCCAUGGGCGCGAGCCUGAACCAGCCAAGUCGCGUGAGGGAAGACGGUCCUAUGGAUUGUAAACCUCUUUUGUCGGGGAGCCAAAGACGCCACGCGUGGCGUUCCGAGAGUACCCGAAUAAAAAGCAUCGGCUAACUCCGUGCAAGCAGCCGCGGUAAUACGGAGGAGGCGAGCGGUAUCCGGAUUUAUUGGGUUAAAGGGGUGCGCAGACGGAAGAUCAAGUCAUCGGUAAAAUUGAGAGGCUCAACCUCUUCGAGCCGUUGAAACUGGUUUUCUUGGGUGAGGGAGAAGUAUGCGGAAUGCGUGGUGUAGCGGUGAAAUGCAUAGAUAUCACGCAGAACUCCGAUUGCGAAGGCAGCAUACCGGCGCUCAACUGACGCUCAUGCACGAAAGUGUGGGUAUCGAACAGGAUUAGAUACCCCAGUAGUC